GAGCCUCUUCUCGGCCGCUGUUCUGAAUGCUGCUGCGGGUGGUGACAGAGCGGGUGGUCGUCGUGCAUCUCUAGUUCCCAAGCAGGAAAAAGUGCUCCUGAUUGAACAUAGACGAGCGUACAAUUGUGAGAUAAUGCUGACAAAAGUGAAGAUGCCACUGCCAGAAGUUGUUAAAGCAAUAC
Selaginella moellendorffii is the source of this 182-nucleotide long non-coding RNA. RefSeq lists it as uncharacterized. The transcript has 3 exons. The record is from RefSeq and is a predicted model, not a curated record. Lineage: Eukaryota; Viridiplantae; Streptophyta; Lycopodiopsida; Selaginellales; Selaginellaceae.